AUGGACAUAGCAACUGGAGAAAAUGCUGAAGGCUUUGGUGAGGCAGUGGGAAACUUGGAAAAUGAAAUUGCUAUAGAAGAAGAGGAACACGAGGAAGAGGACUUGAUCUCAAAAGGGACAGCUAGACGGUCUGUCGAUACUCACUUUAUGGAUGGAACUAGUUCCAAGAGGCAGGGGAAAGAACCAAGGCCAAAGAGGGUGACGAGACCAAGUGAUCCCUUUGCAGUGAUGCUUCAAGAUGUCAAUAGCCAGCUCAACAAUGUGACACAAUAUGUGGGUACAAUGGCAGCAUCAUUGUCAGCAUCAAUGGCACGAGAAGCAGCGCAAGACUAUCCUGAGCAGAAAUCAAAAGAGAAGGCUAUUAGUGAAUUGGCUAGGCUUAGCUUUACCGGGAGCGAGAUCGUUGAGGCUGCAACCGUAUUUGCUAAAGCUCCAGAUCAGAUGAACAUGAUGCUUGCGCUUCCAGAAAAUCUGAGGAGGGAGUAUGUCCUAAAAAUGCUCUUUGAUGAAAAAAGAAGCACGGUUGAUUAG
RNAcentral lists this ribosomal RNA (531 nucleotides) under Triticum aestivum (bread wheat). Its description in RNAcentral is "partial small subunit ribosomal RNA". Lineage: Eukaryota; Viridiplantae; Streptophyta; Magnoliopsida; Poales; Poaceae. The record is from RNAcentral.